Wasmannia auropunctata (little fire ant) is the source of this 860-nucleotide long non-coding RNA. RefSeq lists it as uncharacterized. NCBI's taxonomy places the organism in Eukaryota, Metazoa, Arthropoda, Insecta, Hymenoptera, Formicidae. The transcript has 3 exons. The record is from RefSeq and is a predicted model, not a curated record.
GUAACGGGGACGUCAACCAAACCACACGAUGCGAUGGUAACAAAGCUGAUACCACGGUUGAUACUCGCGCAUCGCGAAGUCGCAGAUUGACCUUUAGCCGUACCCGUGCCUGAUCUGAUUUCACCAUAAGGACACUGAUUGUAUCGGAAGCAGUGGAAAAAAAUCGUCCCUUCCGCUUUCUUACAAUACACGCUUAACUAGGCUAAGCUGGGUUAUUGACCGUCUUAUAAAGAAUAUGCAUAACUUAUUUGCAGCUCAUUAAAUAGACUUAUUCUUCUUCUUCGGUUAAUAAAGUGAGGAAAGUAUACUUUACGUAGUUACGAUAUGAAUAAAUUAUGAGCUGAUGGAACGAUAGAUCGGUCUUCGAAGAUAUAAUGGAAUUGUAAUAUAAUGGAAAAAUUGAAUGUGGAUGUUUCCAAUUAAUGGUCUCCAAUUUUUGGCAAUAUAUGUAUACGUAUACAUAUACAUCAGAGAAGAAAUUAAGCUUAUAAAAACAAGUUAAUUCUAUUUCGGUAAAAAAGAAAGAAUGCGGAAAAAAUUUAUGUACACAUUGAAGUGAGAAGAUUUAUAAAAAGUAUAAAAACUGCAGGCUGACGACGGAUAGAUCGAUUUAGUAAUUCGGAAAGAUCCGGACGUCUCAGAGUGGCAAGAGUCACUUUGGUACCACAUGACAUCGCGCGAGCGGGCGCAUUUACGUCGCGGGACAAUGGAAAAGGUCGCGCUCGUGCGCGCGGCAGCGGCUGUGGCAUUUGCGGCGUUCGUCGCUAAUAAACGUGUUCGCGAGAAAAUGCGCAACGUAUCGGACAGAGUCGAAAGGCACGGAUGAGUACGGGCCUUUCCGCAUGGGGGAACGGGGCGGG